AGUGAACGCUGGCGGUAGGCCUAACACAUGCAAGUCGAACGGCAGCACAGGAGAGCUUGCUCUCUGGGUGGCGAGUGGCGGACGGGUGAGGAAUACAUCGGAAUCUACUUUUUCGUGGGGGAUAACGUAGGGAAACUUACGCUAAUACCGCAUACGACCUACGGGUGAAAGCAGGGGAUCUUCGGACCUUGCGCGAUUGAAUGAGCCGAUGUCGGAUUAGCUAGUUGGGGGGGUAAAGGCCCACCAAGGCGACGAUCCGUAGCUGGUCUGAGAGGAUGAUCAGCAACACUGGAACGGAGACACGGUCCAGACUCCUACGGGAGGAAGCAGUGGGGAAUAUUGGACAAUGGGCGCAAGCCUGAUCCAGCCAUACCGCGUGGGUGAAGAAGGCCUUCGGGUUGUAAAGCCCUUUUGUUGGGAAAGAAAUCCAGCUGGUUAAUACCCGGUUGGGAUGACGGUACCCAAAGAAUAAGCACCGGCUAACUUCGUGCCAGCAGCCGCCGUAA
This 506-nucleotide ribosomal RNA is filed under the name uncultured bacterium. Its description in RNAcentral is "partial 16S ribosomal RNA". It matches the Rfam family "Bacterial small subunit ribosomal RNA", at positions 29 to 523 of the family's 1533-position model. The record is from RNAcentral.